UACGUAGGGGUCGAGCGUUGUCCGGAGUUACUGGGCGUAAAGAGUGCGUAGGCGGUUUUCUAAGUUUGGUGUGAAAUCUCCCGGCUUAACUGGGAGGGUGCGCCGAAGACUGGAAGGCUUGAGUAUGGGAGAGGUAAGCGGAAUUCCUGGUGUAGCGGUGAAAUGCGUAGAUAUCAGGAGGAACACCUGUGGUGUAGACAGCUUACUGGACCAUUUCUGACGCUGAGACACGAAAGCGUGGGUAGCAAACAGG
Molecule: ribosomal RNA, 253 nt
Filed under: uncultured bacterium
Lineage: Bacteria
Description: partial 16S ribosomal RNA
Rfam family: Bacterial small subunit ribosomal RNA
Source: RNAcentral